Non-coding RNA from Parasteatoda tepidariorum (common house spider), 554 nucleotides. NCBI's taxonomy places the organism in Eukaryota, Metazoa, Arthropoda, Arachnida, Araneae, Theridiidae. The record is from RefSeq and is a predicted model, not a curated record.
GACAGAGCGUGGAAAAGGGGUGUCGGAGUGCUCCAAUUCCCAAAGUGUGGUGCCUCAGGAAAAUAAGAAAAAGCGACACGCAAAGUAGAAUCCUUUUUCAUUCUUAGAUUUGUUUGUUGGGAAUGGAUUGCUGUUAUGUACCUUCAGGUGUAAAGUGAACUAUGUUAAAAAUUCGUUCGUUAUUGUGGUUGGCGGUGCUGUUGCUUUUAAUUUGUCAUCUUGGCCACUCAUUUCACAUGCAUAAGAUCAUGGCAGCCGCCUUACUCGCCAAUUCAAUGCAAAGAAACAGCUUCUUGCCUUUACCGAUCCCAAUUCCCAUUCCAGUUAAAGUCGGAGGAAAUACAAUCAUAGCGAUGCCCAAUAUGGAUGGUACUACGUCAUACAUGCCUACGCAGAAUACAGGAUGUUCUCAGCCACCCUGUGUAUCCCUGGCUAAUUUCGCCAAAGGGAUUGGUCGAACCUCUUUUUGGUGAAUAAAGACCCAUGAACUGUUAUUCACUCUGGCAGUGAAUUUCUUAUGCGAUGUAUAUGUAUAAUUCUGUUGUAAAUAAAUA